UACGAAGGGGGCUAGCGUUGCUCGGAAUCACUGGGCGUAAAGGGUGCGUAGGCGGGUCUUUAAGUCAGGGGUGAAAUCCUGGAGCUCAACUCCAGAAUUGCCUUCGAUACUGGCGAUCUCGAGUUCGGGAGAGGUGAGUGGAACUGCGAGUGUAGAGGUGAAAUUCGUAGAUAUUCGCAAGAACACCAGUGGCGAAGGCGGCUCACUGGCCCGAUACUGACGCUGAGGUGCGAAAGCGUGGGGAGCAAACAGG
This 253-nucleotide ribosomal RNA is filed under the name uncultured bacterium. Its description in RNAcentral is "partial 16S ribosomal RNA". It matches the Rfam family "Bacterial small subunit ribosomal RNA", at positions 524 to 776 of the family's 1533-position model. The record is from RNAcentral.